This 305-nucleotide ribosomal RNA is filed under the name uncultured bacterium. RNAcentral's name for it is "bacterial SSU rRNA". It matches the Rfam family "Bacterial small subunit ribosomal RNA", at positions 333 to 654 of the family's 1533-position model. The record is from RNAcentral.
CGACCCCUACGGGACGCAGCAGUGGGGAAUAUUGCACAAUGGGGGAAACCCUGAUGCAGCAACGCCGCCUGAAGGAAGACGGUUUUCGGAUUGUAAACUUCUGUUCUUAGUGAAGAAUAAUGACGGUAGCUAAGGAGCAAGCCACGGCUAACUACGUGCCAGCAGCCGCGGUAAUACGUAGGUAGCAAGCGUUGUCCGGAAUUACUGGGUGUAAAGGGAGCGCAGGCGGGAAGCCAAGUCAGCUGUGAAAACUACGGGCUUAACUUGUAGACUGCAGUUGAAACUGGUUUUCUUGAGUGAAGUAG